GGAAUAUUGGUCAAUGGCCGGAAGGCUGAACCAGCCAUGCCGCGUGCAGGAAUGAGGCCCUAUGGGUCGUAAACUGCUUUUGUGGCGGAGCAAUAAGGUGUACGUGUACACCGAUGAGAGUACGUCACGAAUAAGCAUCGGCUAACUCCGUGCCAGCAGCCGCGGUAAUACGGAGGAUGCGAGCGUUAUCCGGAUUUAUUGGGUUUAAAGGGUGCGUAGGCGGGUUGCCAAGUCAGGGGUGAAAUCCCGGAGCCUAACUCCGGAACUGCCUUUGAUACUGGCAGUCUUGAAUUCGGAUGCCGUGGGAGGAAUGAGUAGUGUAGCGGUGAAAUGCAUAGAUAUUACUCAGAACACCGAUUGCGAAGGCAUCUCACGAAUCCGACAUUGACGCUGAGGCACGAAAGCGUGGGGAUCAAACA
RNAcentral lists this ribosomal RNA (419 nucleotides) under uncultured bacterium. RNAcentral's name for it is "bacterial SSU rRNA". It matches the Rfam family "Bacterial small subunit ribosomal RNA", at positions 358 to 774 of the family's 1533-position model. The record is from RNAcentral.